AAUGUGGAAAUAUUUGCGUAAUGCUGCCCAAAAAAUGCAUAAAAAGAAGUAGAAGUCAUUAUAAUCAGUAAAUAUGUCCCCACUGGAUGCAACAAAUGCUUCGUUUGUAAUGGGUUUUAUUGGUUUUGUCUCGUUGUGCCGGGACACAUGGCAUCACACUAUAAUAAGGGCAUAACAUUUCCGUCACACGCUUGAGGCAUUCAGCCAAUCACAACGGCACUGGAUAGCUGGCCAAUCAUUGUACACCUUGCUUUUCAGAACUAUGAGCCUUGUAAAAAUCUACGCAUUUCAGAAAGGAGGGGCAUUGUUAAAAGUAUUGCGCCCUUAUACAUUAGAUUACGGUAUACAAAAUUAGCUUUAGUUUCUAUUUGGAGGUAUACGGUUGUGUACGUGAUGACGUUAUAUCAUUACGUGAUGUUCUCAGAAAAAGAAAGAAAAGAUGUUGAACUGAUGUUAUGUUCAAGUGAUGCUGCUAAAAUNCCACACGCGAGUGAAAGUGAAUAGCGCACUCGGGUGCUCAACAGGUUAUGGGCCCAGUCACGGAAACAAACGAGCGUGAGUAAAGUUAAGUUCAGUCAGACGCGACGUAUAACGCGUGCUAUAAAUCUAACGAUAAAGCUAAACUGAAGAAACAUAUAAGAAGAAAGGUCGGUGAUCCUACAAAAUGGCGAACAGAGCGGUAGGAGUCAUGGCACACUCUUUGUUUGAUGGAUCUGAAGAUAAAUAUGAUCUUUGGGAAACGAGAUUCUUAAGCUAUCUACACACUCUAAAGCUAAAAGAGACUAUUUUGCAUGAGCCCACCGGUGCUAAUGAAGAACAGCUAGCUGAAGACAGACGGAAGAACGCUGAUUGCUAUGCUGAACUUGUAAGACUGAUAGAUGAUAAAAGCCUAUCACUGAUAAGACAUGAAUCUGCUGACGAUGGCAGGAAAGCCCUAAGAAUACUGAAAGAACAUUAUUCAGGGAAAAGCAAGCCACGGAUAAUAAAUAUGUACACAUCGUUAACUCAACUACGCAUGUCAGACAAUGAGAGUGUUACAGACUACUUGAUAAGAGCAGAGAACAUCAUCACAGCACUGAGAGAUGCAGGAGAAACCAUGAGUGAUGGAUUAACCAUAGCGAUGGUUCUUCGUGGAUUACCUGAUAUUUUCAAGCCGCUAGCCGUCCACAUAACACAGAAUGAGGACGACGUUACAUUCACAGAUUUUAAGAGAAGACUGCGGAUUUACGAAGAGGCGGAGAAAAUGAAAGGAACAGAAUCCACAGAUAAUGUGAUGAAGACACAGACGAGACAAGGAAAGGGUCCUGCCAGGUACCACACUAAAGAAAGAAAAGAUGAAGACACAAAUAUGACAUGUUACAAAUGUGGAAUAAAGGGACACAGAGCGAGAAAAUGUUACAAGAUUCGACACNAA
Molecule: long non-coding RNA, 1414 nt
Organism: Cyprinus carpio (common carp)
Lineage: Eukaryota; Metazoa; Chordata; Actinopteri; Cypriniformes; Cyprinidae
Source: Ensembl